This 633-nucleotide ribosomal RNA is filed under the name Listeria monocytogenes. RNAcentral's name for it is "bacterial SSU rRNA". It matches the Rfam family "Bacterial small subunit ribosomal RNA", at positions 907 to 1533 of the family's 1533-position model. The record is from RNAcentral. Lineage: Bacteria; Bacillati; Bacillota; Bacilli; Caryophanales; Listeriaceae.
GAAUUGACGGGGGCCCGCACAAGCGGUGGAGCAUGUGGUUUAAUUCGAAGCAACGCGAAGAACCUUACCAGGUCUUGACAUCCUUUGACCACUCUGGAGACAGAGCUUUCCCUUCGGGGACAAAGUGACAGGUGGUGCAUGGUUGUCGUCAGCUCGUGUCGUGAGAUGUUGGGUUAAGUCCCGCAACGAGCGCAACCCUUGAUUUUAGUUGCCAGCAUUUAGUUGGGCACUCUAAAGUGACUGCCGGUGCAAGCCGGAGGAAGGUGGGGAUGACGUCAAAUCAUCAUGCCCCUUAUGACCUGGGCUACACACGUGCUACAAUGGAUAGUACAAAGGGUCGCGAAGCCGCGAGGUGGAGCUAAUCCCAUAAAACUAUUCUCAGUUCGGAUUGUAGGCUGCAACUCGCCUACAUGAAGCCGGAAUCGCUAGUAAUCGUGGAUCAGCAUGCCACGGUGAAUACGUUCCCGGGCCUUGUACACACCGCCCGUCACACCACGAGAGUUUGUAACACCCGAAGUCGGUAGGGUAACCUUUAUGGAGCCAGCCGCCGAAGGUGGGACAGAUAAUUGGGGUGAAGUCGUAACAAGGUAGCCGUAUCGGAAGGUGCGGCUGGAUCACCUCCUUUCUAAGGAA